Molecule: ribosomal RNA, 429 nt
Filed under: Chloroflexota bacterium
Lineage: Bacteria; Bacillati; Chloroflexota
Description: Chloroflexi bacterium partial 16S ribosomal RNA
Rfam family: Bacterial small subunit ribosomal RNA
Source: RNAcentral
UGGGGAAUAUUGCACAAUGGGCGCAAGCCUGAUGCAGCCAUGCCGCGUGUAUGAAGAAGGCCUUCGGGUUGUAAAGUACUUUCAGCGGGGAGGAAGGGAGUAAAGUUAAUACCUUUGCUUAUUGACGUUACCCGCAGAAGAAGCACCGGCUAACUCCGUGCCAGCAGCCGCGGUAAUACGGAGGGUGCAAGCGUUAAUCGGAAUUACUGGGCGUAAAGCGCACGCAGGCGGUUUGUUAAGUCAGAUGUGAAAUCCUCGGGCUCAACCUGGGAACUGCAUCUGAUACUGGCAAGCUUGAGUCUCGUAGAGGGGGGUAGAAUUCCAGGUGUAGCGGUGAAAUGCGUAGAGAUCUGGAGGAAUACCGGUGGCGAAGGCGGCCCCCUGGACGAAGACUGACGCUCAGGUGCGAAAGCGUGGGGAGCAAACAGG